Podarcis lilfordi (Lilford's wall lizard) is the source of this 325-nucleotide non-coding RNA. Lineage: Eukaryota; Metazoa; Chordata; Lepidosauria; Squamata; Lacertidae. The record is from the annotation of a GenBank genome assembly.
GGAAAGGCUGUAACUCAGUGGUAGAGCACCCCUUGGCUUACACCAUGGGUAGGCAAAACAAACCCCGGGGGCUGGAUCCGGCCCAAUCGCCUUCUAAAUCCAGGCCGCAGAUGGUCCGGGAACCGGCAUAGAAUGUGCCCUUUUAUUUAAAAUGCAUCUCUGGGUUAUUUGUGGGGCAUAGGAAUUUGUUUUAUUCCCCCCCCCCCAAAAUAUAUAUAGUCUGGCCCCCCACAAGGUCUGAGGGGCAGUGGACUGGCCCUCUGCUGAAAAAGUUUGCUGACCCAUGGCCUACACAAAGCUCCAGGUUCGAUUCCUGGCAUUUCCA